UGCCUCAGAGGGCACAAGGAGCUAAAGGCUGAACUCCUCACGAAAGCAACUCAGACAAUGGAGGGUUAGCUCCCCUGCAACCUGGCAAAUCCACACUGUAAAUUAGGUCAAGUUUAUUGAGGUACAAUGUUCAUAUGAUUAAAUCCACCCUUUUAAAGUAUAUGGUUCAAGUCCAGGCACAGUGGCUCACACCUGUAAUCCCAGGACUCUGGUUUGAGACCAGCUUGGGCAACAUAGUGAGACCCCCAUCUCUACAAAAAAACAAAACCAAAAAAUACAAAAAUUAGCUGCACAUGGUGGUGCGUGCCUGUAGUCCCAGCUACUCGGGAAGCUGAGAUGGGAGGAUUGCUUGAGGCUGAGAGGCAGAAGUUACAGUGAGCAGAGAUCGAGACACUGCACUCCAGUGU
This 407-nucleotide long non-coding RNA is filed under the name Homo sapiens (human). Its description in RNAcentral is "HSALNT0126628". The record is from RNAcentral. Lineage: Eukaryota; Metazoa; Chordata; Mammalia; Primates; Hominidae.